This 468-nucleotide ribosomal RNA is filed under the name uncultured bacterium. Its description in RNAcentral is "partial 16S ribosomal RNA". It matches the Rfam family "Bacterial small subunit ribosomal RNA", at positions 28 to 507 of the family's 1533-position model. The record is from RNAcentral.
GACGAACGCUGGCGGCGUGCUUAACACAUGCAAGUCGAACGGAAAGGCCCUGCUUUUGUGGGGUGCUCGAGUGGCGAACGGGUGAGUAACACGUGAGUAACCUGCCCUUGACUUUGGGAUAACUUCAGGAAACUGGGGCUAAUACCGGAUAGGAGCUCCUGCUGCAUGGUGGGGGUUGGAAAGUUUCGGCGGUUGGGGGUGGACUCGCGGCUUAUCAGCUUGUUGGUGGGGUAGUGGCUUACCAAGGCUUUGACGGGUAGCCGGCCUGAGAGGGUGACCGGCCACAUUGGGACUGAGAUACGGCCCAGACUCCUACGGGAGGCAGCAGUGGGGAAUAUUGCACAAUGGGCGGAAGCCUGAUGCAGCAACGCCGCGUGCGGGAUGACGGCCUUCGGGUUGUAAACCGCUUUCGCCUGUGACGAAGCGCGAGUGGCGGUAAUGGGUAAAGAAGCACCGGCUAACUACGUG